AAUGAACGCUGGCGGUAUGCUUAACACAUGCAAGUCGAACGAACAAAAAAACUAAAGCUUGCUUUAGUUUUUUUGUUAGUGGCAAACGGGUGAGUAACGCGUGGGAAUCUACCCAUCAGUACGGAAUAACAUUUGGAAACAAAUGCUAAUACCGUAUAUUCUCUAAAAGAGGAAAGAUUUAUCGCUGAUGGAUGAGCCCGCGUAAGAUUAGGUAGUUGGUAGGGUAAUGGCCUACCAAGCCAACGAUCUUUAGCUGGUCUGAGAGGAUGAUCAGCCACACUGGGACUGAGACACGGCCCAGACUCCUACGGGAGGCAGCAGUGGGGAAUAUUGGACAAUGGGCGAAAGCCUGAUCCAGCAAUACCGCGUGAAUGAUGAAGGCCUUAGGGUUGUAAAGUUCUUUUAAUAGGGAAGAUAAUGACGAUACCUAUAGAAAAAGCCCCGGCUAACUCCGUGCCAGCAGCCGCAGUAA
This 472-nucleotide ribosomal RNA is filed under the name uncultured bacterium. RNAcentral's name for it is "partial 16S ribosomal RNA". It matches the Rfam family "Bacterial small subunit ribosomal RNA", at positions 29 to 523 of the family's 1533-position model. The record is from RNAcentral.